GAUGAACGUUGGCGACGUGCCUAACACAUGCAAGUCGAGCGGAGAAGCAGAGAGUGCACGUUUCGGAGGGAACUGUUUUCGGAUCGGCGGCGGACGGGUGAGUAAUACAUGAGGAACCUGCCCUCUACAAGGGGAUAGCCGCGGGAAACCGCGAUUAAUACCCUAGGAGACCACGAAAGAGCAUGCGCUUGAGGGCAAAGAUUUAUCGGUAGAAGAUGGCCUCAUGACCGAUGAGCUAGUUGGAGACUUAACAGACAACCAAGGCGACGAUGGGUAGCCGGCAUCAGAGAGUGACCCGCCACACUGGAACUGGGCCUCGGUCCAGACUCCUACGGGAAGCAGGAGUGCGUAAUAUUGCACAACGGGGGAAAUCCUGAUGCAGCUCCGUCGCGUGAGCGCAGUAGGCCUUCGGGUCGUAAAGCUCUGUCCUAUCGGAAGAAAAGGACGGUACCCAAGAAGGAAGCCCCGGCUAACUACGUG
RNAcentral lists this ribosomal RNA (480 nucleotides) under uncultured bacterium. RNAcentral's name for it is "partial 16S ribosomal RNA". It matches the Rfam family "Bacterial small subunit ribosomal RNA", at positions 28 to 507 of the family's 1533-position model. The record is from RNAcentral.